CGCGUAGGCGGUAAUGUAAGUCAGAUGUGAAAUACUCAGGCUCAACCAGAGAACAGCAUCUGAAACUGCAUAACUAGAGUACAGAAGAGGGAAACGGAAUUCCCGGUGUAGAGGUGAAAUUCGUAGAUAUCGGGAGGAACACCAGUGGCGAAGGCGGUUUCCUGGUCUGAUACUGACGCUGAGGCGCGAAAGCGUGGGGAGCAAACAG
RNAcentral lists this ribosomal RNA (208 nucleotides) under uncultured bacterium. RNAcentral describes it as "partial 16S ribosomal RNA". It matches the Rfam family "Bacterial small subunit ribosomal RNA", at positions 568 to 775 of the family's 1533-position model. The record is from RNAcentral.